This 447-nucleotide ribosomal RNA is filed under the name uncultured bacterium. Its description in RNAcentral is "bacterial SSU rRNA". It matches the Rfam family "Bacterial small subunit ribosomal RNA", at positions 329 to 792 of the family's 1533-position model. The record is from RNAcentral.
GGCCAGACUCCUACGGGAGGCAGCAGUGGGGGAUAUUGCACAAUGGGGGAAACCCUGAUGCAGCGACGCCGCGUGUGGGAAGACGGUCCUCUGGAUUGUAAACCACUGUCCCCAGGGACGAAGAUGACGGUACCUGGGGAGGAAGCUCCGGCUAACUACGUGCCAGCAGCCGCGGUAAUACGUAGGGGGCAAGCGUUAUCCGGAUUUACUGGGUGUAAAGGGAGCGUAGACGGCAUGGCAAGUCAGAUGUGAAAGCCCGGGGCUCAACCCCGGGACUGCAUUUGAAACUGUCAGGCUGGAGUGCAGGAGAGGUAAGUGGAAUUCCUAGUGUAGCGGUGAAAUGCGUAGAUAUUAGGAGGAACACCAGUGGCGAAGGCGUCUUACUGGACCGAAACUGACGUUGAGGCUCGAAAGCGUGGGGAGCAAACAGGAUUAGAUACCCUCGUA